UUCUCUACAGGUUGACCGGAGAAAAACACCCAACCGCAACUUGAGUCGGAGGAGCUGUCGCACCGGAGAGCCCCCGCCAGUGAGUUUCGAUUUUUGUAUUUUUUCAGCCAACUGAGUCCCCUUAACAUGUUUUCUCGCAGGAAUUGAUGCAAAAUCGGCUGAAAACAGCCGACCCUAGGUGGACUACCACCAGAGCACGGCGAAGCCGAUGUGCCAGAAUUCUGGAAU
This 228-nucleotide long non-coding RNA is filed under the name Carica papaya (papaya). Its description in RNAcentral is "long non-coding RNA (CPAP_LNC003056)". The record is from RNAcentral. Lineage: Eukaryota; Viridiplantae; Streptophyta; Magnoliopsida; Brassicales; Caricaceae.